GGAGGUAUCGUUUUUUUUUGUUUUUUUUUUUUGGCAUAAACAAAUAUUGCAGUGUGUUUCGUUUUGCUCCCCUCGGUGAAAUUAUAAUAUUUGCACGCCCUCACCUAGAUCUAGAUCUGAAAUUAGUUGUUAUGUUAAAAUAAACAAUAAUUUACCUUAAGCGAUGUAUUAUUGUUGACCAUUCGAGAUUCUUUUUUUUCAACCCGUCUUCAGCUGAAUUUGUGAUUGUAAUAUUACUAUGCGGGACGCAAGGGAUUUCAAAUCGAAAAUAAAUGCAAAAAAAAUGUGAAGU
This 292-nucleotide long non-coding RNA is filed under the name Mytilus galloprovincialis (Mediterranean mussel). Lineage: Eukaryota; Metazoa; Mollusca; Bivalvia; Mytilida; Mytilidae. The record is from RNAcentral.